This 93-nucleotide non-coding RNA is filed under the name uncultured Tissierella sp. RNAcentral describes it as "Glycine riboswitch". It matches the Rfam family "Glycine riboswitch aptamer", at positions 6 to 89 of the family's 94-position model. Rfam says of the family: This family represents the bacterial glycine riboswitch. Glycine riboswitches usually consist of two metabolite-binding aptamers domains with similar structures in tandem. The record is from RNAcentral. Lineage: Bacteria; Bacillati; Bacillota; Tissierellia; Tissierellales; Tissierellaceae.
UAAUGCGGAAGAGACCAUGUUAUAUGGCGCCGAAGGAACAAGUUGAUGGGUAGCCGAUCCACAAUGAAACUCUCAGGCAAAAGGACCGUAUUG